This is a long non-coding RNA of Mirounga angustirostris (Northern elephant seal), 5449 nucleotides long. RefSeq lists it as uncharacterized. The record is from RefSeq and is a predicted model, not a curated record. Lineage: Eukaryota; Metazoa; Chordata; Mammalia; Carnivora; Phocidae. The transcript has 2 exons.
AAUUCUGACAGUGAUCUGAGCUUUUGAUCAGGCUAGUAAAUAAGUGGGGGUGGGGGGGCGGGGAAUACUGUAUUUCCUCAGGAGGUAAUCUUCCUUUCUGUUAAACCCAUAUAAUCCUAUUAUUUUCUAUUUUUUCUUUCCCAAGAGAGAUUAAAAAAUAAGUAUAUGUGGUCUAGAGAAGAAGGAUCCUGCUGAGAAGAAAGAGGAUCGAGUGGAAGUCAUUAGUCCUUAAGUUUAAAAAUAAGUUUUAAUCUUUAAUCCAGAUGUGGGCUUUGGCUUUCAUCAGUCUCUCUCUCUCUCUCUCUCAUCUUUGUCCCUCUGACACACACGAUUAAUACACACUACCCAUGCCUACCAUUACUCUUUUUUUUUCUAAGCUACUUUGAAAAAUUAUGUCCUUUUGAGUUGAGAACCAGUGGAGGAACCAUCUGUCUCUCCAUCUUUCAGCGUUCUGUGGAGAUGAGUGAUGGAAAGAAAUUCCUCCUUGUUAGGGUUGAGAGAAGGCAAGGAACCCGGAGCGCAGAAGAGCACAUGCCCCGGAUUCCAGGCAUAUUGUGUAUUGACUUGAACAUUGGAAAUGUGCCCAGAGUCGACACACAGACAUGAUUCCCUUUUCCCCUUCCCCCUCCUCUUCCCCCUCCUGCUCUCAGUAGGUUGUGAGGGCUUAGAAGCAGACACUGGGCGUGGAGGAGCGAACAUCGGACACGUUCCGGCUCCCCCAGCACUUACAUCCUAGGGGGAAUCCACAGGCGAUGCUUGGUGCUUUGAAGGAAAUUAAAUAGGUCUCCAGAGUGGUGGGUUGUGGGAAUGCCAGUGUGGACCCCACGGUCAGGGCAGGCCUCCCGUUGCUUGGGGUACCAUAGAUCAGAGACAUUUUAGAGUGUCUAACAAGACACUGUGGAUCUUUACCAAUGGCGAUUGGGUGACAGAAGUGUUACUUCAGGAGUCCAGGUUACUUGGAACCUUUUAGAAGGAGACAUUAAGGGGACUAGUGGUGGUGGUUGGCUGUUAGAAAGUCAUCUUCCGGGGGGACGGCACCAACGCCAACAUGGAAGAGCUUCUUGGUUCGUCUGCUGUCAUGUGUUGCGUGAGUGGGUGGCGGGGGCCCUGAUUGUUUUCCGGUUUCCCAGGGCCCCAGGGCCCCCUCUGCUCCCCGCACUGAUGAAUUAGUUACACGGCGUUUCCUGCUGGUGUGGUGCACCAGCCCGUGUGUCCAAGUGCCUCAGGUCCAGAUGUCUAGGACGAGUGUGUUAACUCUUACAGGCAAAGUGUUUUGUAGGCCAGGGUGGCCUCUUGUUCUUCUGAAUGGUUCUGUGUAUGCAUGGGUUCCUAAUAUUCCUGUGACAAGAAGCCAUCUUUGAUUCCCCAAGGUCUAAUAAUCACAGGGAGUGGAAAAGUUAUGGUUUUGCCAACUUCAGUUGCAGAUGAAGGAAUGGGAGGAAAGAUAUUACUUGCCUAUUUCCCCGCCUUUUUUUUUUUUUUUUUGUAACGAGUUGGUGUUAGAGAGAAUUUGGUUAGGUUGACUGCUUCUCCUCCCUUCUAAGAAAUUCCUGGGCUGCUCAAAAGGGCAGAUGGCAGUGGCUGUAGCUUUGAGAUCUCAGUCAGCCAGGUAAAGGGCUUACUGGUGAGUUAUGAUUUUAAUCUUUGGGGAAACUUGUUAUGAAGAAAUGUAACUCAGAUUUAUGUUACCUUUAUUGAUUGGUUGGUUGAUUUGAGAAAUGUAUGUGUGGGUCAUGCAUACCUGAGGAAGGCAGGCUGGAGACAUUUGGAGAUGUUAAAGCUGGGGUGGGAGAGUAUGAAAGAGCUUUGGAAUGCCCUUUUUUUUUUUUUUUUUUUUAAUUUUAAAGAUUUAUUCAUUUAUUCCAGAGAGAGAGCAAGCAGGGGAAGGGGCAGAGGGGGGAAAGAGAGAGAAUCUCAUAGACUCCCCCAGGUGCAGACAAGGGACUCGAUCUCACGACCCUGAGAUCAUAACCUGAGCCGAACCGAGAGUUGGACACUCAAUGGACUAAGCUAUCCAGGCGUCCCUGGAUGCCUUUUAAACAACAUUAGAUUUGACUGACUUACCUAUACCUGCCCUCACAUGUGCCUGAGAUCUCACCUCUCCAACAGGAAGAUGGGCCUGGGCUGGGUGUUGCCACUCACCCUCACACUCCCAGAGUUCUGGGCUAGGAGUGGCAGCUUUCUAAUCUAUCCCAAAAGAACAAAGUGCCCAGAAAGGCCCAGGGAAUCAGUGAUGCCCAGCUGAUCCACUAGCAUUUUCCAUCUGAAGCAAAAGAGAAGGAAUGAUUACAAUUUUUUAGGUCCCUUUCAUGGUUCAGUUCAGUUUGCAUUCUUAAGGGUUUGUUUUUAAAAUUACAACUAUGAAUUUUCUUCUUACUAUGUCUGCAUAUGUCUUCUGAUGUGAUAUGUCAUCUUUCUUUCAUUUUGAUGACCCAAAAGAAGUUACAAAUCAAGCUAAAAUUGUAGGAUUUGAAUGUAAGGUCUCUGCCACCUCCUUCCAGAUGGUUAAUUCCAGUAUGGUUUCAUGGCUUUUGUCCCAGAGGAAUGAUGAAGUAAAUAGUAGUUAUGUUCAGGAUACAGGGCUAUGGGAACCAUUAGAUCCAUACUGUAACUGAACUGGAAUCCUCCCAUUUCAAACGUCAGUACCGUGUCUCAGGCCGGGUGAGCCCUCCGUAUUUUCUUUUCUUCUUUUGAACAGCUUAGGGAUGGCCUCAGGCAAAAACUUCAGAUACGUGAAGUUUAUCUUAAUUAUCCUUCCAUGGCAUUUUGGGUAUUUUUUGCCUUUCACUUCAGUGCCUGAGUGACUCCUUCACAGAAACCUUCCCUGAAGUUCCACCUCCUGAAACCGUUGUCCCUUGAGCUGUCUUCCUCGCAUCUAAAAUGCCUGUUCUCCCAGUGCUGCAGAAGUCAGCUGGGAGGGAAGCAGCUCUUCAUUCUCCCAUAGCUCUGUUUUAAAAAUUUAUCUUCUCUAAAACGAAUUCCUUUUCUACUUAUUUUGAGAAACCUCUUUUCAAUGUUCUCUACACCCAGUGUGGGGCUCGAGCACCCAACCCCGAGAUCAAGAGUCAUGCGCUCUACUGACUGAGCCAGCCUGGUGCCCCUGAGAAACUUCUUCUGUAUACGAAGUUCAUAUGCAUCCCCACCACACAUCCGUUGCCACGUGCUUAUUUAUUUAUUUCUCUGACCUGUGUUUGGUUAUUAUUGAUACAUAAUAGUAUUUCCUAAUAUUUGACAUGUGUUUCUCGUGGAUUUCUUUUUUCAGUCUUCUUUAAAACUCUAAUCAAUGGUUCUCAAAUUUUGGUGUGUAUGAUAAUCACCUUGGGGAAGUUGGCAAAAAUAGGGGCCUAACCCAUAGUCAACUUCAGUUAGCCUGGGCCUCUAUUUUUAAUUAAUUUUCUAGGUGAUUCUAAUACCACCAGAGUUUGAGAUCCACUGCUCUGGGUCUUUGCUGCUCAGACAGUGGUCCGUGGGCUAGCCCCAGUGACAUCACCUGGGAGCUCACUAGAACGGCAUGUUAGGCCUCUCCCAAGAACGAAUGAGCAAACCAGAAUCUUCAUUUUGACAAGAUCUCCAGUGAUGCAGAUGCAUGUGAAGGGUGACAAAGCACUGGGAACAAUGCCUCUCAGACUUCCAAGCAUAUUGGAACCGCCUGCUCUACCUGGAGAGCUCCUAAUGUAAUUGAGUGGGGGUCAGGGGGAGGGAUUAGGCACUGAGAUUGUUUUGGAAGCUCCCUGGGUAAUUCUCACGGGCAGCCAGGAGAACUGCUGAUGUUGCUGCUGUCUUCCUUAGAACAAAGCUUCCCAACUGGUGUGCCUCGGGAAACAGUUACAGGUGUGUAUAGGUCACCUUGGCUCCUGGGAGGCGGCGCAGAGCAGCUAUGCAGCAUCGACCGAGAGACCUGCUAUACCUCAGUUACCUGCUGGGGUCAGCCCCUUCUCCUGACCUAGCCUCAUUUUCCCGUUCUCCACCCACAGAUGCCCUGGGAGCAUUACUGUGUCCUUCCGGGGGUGGGGAGCCUCCAGCCGGCUGGGGCGGGGCAGGGUGGUGGUUAUUUGUAAAUCGGGCCUUUAAAUUAAGUACUAACUUUGGUAUAUUUCCACUCUGGGUCUGCAAAUACUUCAGGAAACUUUCUUUGAAGAACAAGAGUAGAAAGUGUUUUAAUUCCUUAUUCACCACUGUGCUUGCCUUGAUGAUUCUGGCUCUUCAGCUGGAUGAAGAGGUACAUCUGUGGUAUACAUCCCAAUGAGGUGAAUCUCCACCAUCAUCCAAACUCUCCUCACCCUCUCCCUGCCCCCCACCCACCAGUUCCACCCCAGCCCUGUGUAGGCCAAGAAAAGCAUUCACGUCAGUUACUUUGUUGAAGAGUCGGCCUGUGUUCAUUCAGCUAAGUCUGAGUCUCUGUUAUGCACCAAGCAUCUGAGAUCUGAGAGUUGAGUAUAAUUGCCUUCUAAAUUGUUUUCUUGCUUCUCGGCCCCUCCAGUCCUUCCUCCAUAGUGCUACCAGAAAUGGUAUUUCUCAAAAGCACUGAUUAGAUCUUUUCCUCGCCGGGGCCCGUUAGUGGAAUUCUAGAGCCACGGGGUGCGCGCCAGCUUCUAAGACACACUCCGUACCUUGCCUCCAUAUCCCUGGGCUGCAGCAGUCCCUUUGUCUGGAUUCCUUGACUCUUACCCACCUGGCACACUUUCCCUCUCUGAGAACCUGACUGCAGCAUCACCUCUUGGAAAUGACGUGCGUUACCCCAGUUCAAGUUCGUUUCUCCUUCCUUGGUGCUUUCCCCUGGACUUGACACACCUGCUUCUGUCUUCACUUAACCAACAAAUGGAGUGCCAUGCUGCAUCAGGCCUGUUCUCAGGGCUGGGGAUGUGGCAGUGAGUGAGAUAGACGGAACCAUUGCCCUCAGAGAGAGGAGUCAAGAGAUCAAAUAGGAGGUUGGUUUCAGAUAGUGCUGAGUGCUCAGAAGAAAACAUGACAGCAAACAGGAUAGAGGCUGGGUGGAUUUGCAGAAGAUGGACAGAGAAGUCUUCUCCCUGGAGGUGACAUCUUUGCUGAGCUCUGAACAAUGACUGGAGCCAGCCAUGGAAGCAUCUGGAAAGGAGCUAUUUGGGGAAGCAGCACAUGCAGAAGCCCUGAGGCAGAAAGGCUCCAUGGCACUCGGAAGGGAAGAUAGGAGGGAGGUCAGAAGAAUAGUCAGGGGUCUGAGGGCCGAGGGCCUGUCUGCCUUGGCAAGGUAUUUGGUUUUAUUCCUAAGCGUACUGGGGACGGGCUAGAGGGCUUUAGGUGCUUCUGUGAGCCCCCAGCACCAAGUCCAGAGGACUAUCAGUUAACGGUUGAGUAGUGAAUGCAUGAGCCAUCUACGGUUUCUUAUGAUAAACUCUGUUUAAGUGUGUGAGUCAAUAACACCAUGUAAAUAACAUUUUCUGUUUAAUAAAAUCUGAUCAUUCUGCUGCUA